AGGAUCAUUCGCAAUGGGGGAAACCCUGACGAUGCGACGCUGCGUGGAGGAUGAAGGCCUUCGCGUUGUAAACUCCUGUCAUGCUGGAAAAGGAGAGGGGACCCAACACGUCCCUUAUUUGAUGGAACAUCAAGAGGAAGAGACGGCUAACUCUGUGCAAGCAGCCGCGGUAAUACAGAGGUCUCGAGCGUUGUUCGGAUUUACUGGGCGUAAAGGGCGCGUAGGCGGCGCGGCGUGUCGAGUGUGAAAUCUCCGGGCUCAACCCGGAAAGUGCGCUUGAAACUGCCGUGCUCGAGUGCGGGAGAGGGAAUCGGAAUACAGGGUGUAGCGGUGAAAUGCGUUGAUAUCCUGUAGAACACCGGAUGCGAAGGCGGAUUCCUGGAACGCAACUGACGCUGAGGCGCGAAAGUCGGGGGAGCAAACA
RNAcentral lists this ribosomal RNA (424 nucleotides) under uncultured bacterium. RNAcentral describes it as "bacterial SSU rRNA". It matches the Rfam family "Bacterial small subunit ribosomal RNA", at positions 358 to 774 of the family's 1533-position model. The record is from RNAcentral.